AUAUUUAGUUUUCUGAGAAACCUCCACAUUGUUUUCCAUAGUGGUUGCACCAGUGUACAUUCCCACCAAAAGUGUAAGAAGACUCCUUUUCUCUAUACCCUCUCUAGAAUUUAUUAUUUGUAGACUUUUGGAUAAUGGCUAUUCUGGCUGGUAUAAGGUGGUACCUCACAGUAGUUUUGAUUUGUAGUUCUCAAAUAAUUAGUGAUCUUGAAUCAUUCUGAGAGCUUUACAUAGCGCUGGGGAUCCCAUGUUUUGGAGCCAUCCCUGAGCGGCUGUGGCUUUACCCAUCUUGGAGGGCCUUGGGCUGCAGUGGCUCGGAGGUCCACUGCCAAGCCCUCUUUAGGACAGUAUGAUAAGGAGCAAAUGUUCCUUCUGCCGAUUGGCCUGUGUCUGAGCUCUUGGAAAGAGAAUAACAGUGCCUUUCAUUUGUCAAGCAGCUUCUAAAAUAUUUGCUUUUGUUAUCUCGUUCCAUCCUGAUAAUAACCGUGUGAGAAAAGCAGGGUGGCGUUCUUAUUGUCCUUGUACACAGGCGGGGAAGCUCAUGCCCCAGGAGCUGAAGUCUCGCCUGGUUUGGUAAUGGGCAGAGCAGGGACCAGACUCCCUGUCUUUUCCCCGUGAAAGUGGAUGUAGUGCAAGAAGGGCCCUUGUGAAGGGUCGAGAAGACAAAGAGUAGAGAGACUGAUGGUGUUGAACUUUAGCUUUUAGAGGCUAAUGAAUAUUCAUUCUUCCCAUGAGUGAAAUAGGGAAUCAGAGCCACCUGGUUUUUCUCCCUAUUGGGUGGAGAGGCCUUCUUAUCCUCAAGGCUCCCUGGGUCUCACCUCCAUGGGCACCGUUUUCUGAUGACUUAAAGUUAAGAGCUGGGGAAGCAGCAGGGCCAACUGGAUUGUCUUUUGAGGGCAGGACAGAUGAGAGCAUGUCUUCGGUGAACCGAGCUCAGAGGAGUUCUUCAAUUGACAGGUGGUGAGGAUGGGCAGCAGGGGGUGGGGGGGGUGCGUCCCUAGAAGGCCUGUUCCCUGCAGCCCAGCUGCCCUCAGGGCUGGACCAUUCUGAGCCAGGGGUCUCGAGAACCACUGUGGCCCUGGCUGCAUCUCUUUGCUUUCUGAUGGGGCGUGUGUUUUACCUCUCGAAUUCUAUCAGUGGAAUCGGGUGAAGUCUUGACCUCGUUGGACACGGGGGCCUGCACGUUGGUAUCUCUUGUUUGGGGAACCCUUUGCGCUACCAUGUCAGGUAGGCUGGACCGGCUCCUGUGUGUGUUUGCAAAGGAAGACAAACCUGUGUUUUGUAGAAAGGGCCUAUUGUUCCCUGGUAAUCGCUGGUGGCCAACUUCUCCGGGCUCCACUGGCUGCCUCUGCAGAGGGAGCCAGGGUCAGAAUGCUAAUCAGCGCCUUGCACAUACAGCAGCGAUCCAGCCUCAGGGACUGUCAGAAAGUAAACAAAAGUGUGCAGUUUUAGAUUCCAGAAGAAGAGCGGGAGUAGAAAAGAGGCCAGAGUGGAAAAAAGAAUGCACGGACGAGGAAAAGCAGAAAUUCUCAUUCCUGGCUUCUCGAAACAAAAUCAAGAAACCCUCUGGUGGGCUGGCUCUCUCCUCAGGGGUGCCGUGGUGGGCAGCUCACCCCCUAGCACUGGUCUCCUGGGCUCCAAGCCUCGAUAUUGCCCUGGGUGAGCUGGACAGAGGCGUUUUGAUUCCAUGUAUGCUGUGCAUUUCCAACAGUCCCUUUCCUGCCCUCCGUUUAUUCUCUCAAGUUCCAAACGGCAGGCUGGUGUUGGGAAUCCUGCCGUCUUGAAGGAGCACUUUCUUCCAAAUGGGAGAAACGUGAUUGUUGGAACCAGCGCGUAGGUCUUGGUGGUGGGUAUGCAUGAUGGUCGCAGUUCGGCUUCACCCCUGACCGUGGAUGUUCCUUCUCUGAGUGUGAGGAGAGAAUUAUUUUCCACUCCUGGACUGCCUUCUGGCCUCCUUCCUGUAGAUGUAUAGAGUCUAAUCUGGACCUUUCUUUGAUUCAGUGCCUGUGUUCGUAAACUCCGUGGCCAUACAUGGCAGGUGCACAAAAUUGCAUCUCCUAGAGGGCAUCGUGGUGGAAACCGCAUCGGCCGUGGAGUGAGGAGGGACCCGGUUCUAGUUCUCACCCUGCCAGUGACCUGACAUGUCCCCUUACGGGGCCAUAGUCGCCUGUUUCACAGAUGAGGUUGGACUAGAUUGGGGCUACGGGAAUUUUCAUCUCAGCCUUCUCUCCUAAAUUAUAGCCCAUUAAGUGACCUUUGAGCAGGAGCUGUCUAUAAGCUAUUUGAAGUCUCUGCAGUCCUCGCUCAGCAGCUGUGUUUAUGAUUCUCCCUGCCUGAUCCCCUAGAGUUUGGCGAGUAGAGAAAUCAUCUCCAUCCAGCUCUGUGGUGAGCAGAGACCCAAUCUGCACUCCUUCUCCAGAGUUAAGUCUUGGCUCCACUGGGAGAGAGAGCGCCCAUCACCACACACAGCCUUGAUCUCCUUUAACCGGAACUGGAAUGAGCCAGACCUGGGGUUCAUGAGACAAAGGGGGGACAGGCUGCGUUCAGGGUUGAGGAGUCCUGAUGGGAAAAAUUAACAGUGUGUGGACUUAGGGAAUCGAAGACACGUAAAGCACACCUGCUGCUGGCUCUCUGGGGGAGGCUUGGUGCCUUCCUAGUACCGACUGGACUCGGAGGAAACUGGCCGAAAGACUGGACAUUGGGAAGUUCCCCUCGUGGCGCAGUGGUCAUGAACCACAGUAUCCAUGAGGUCACGGGUUCAAUCCCUGGCCUCGCUUGGUGGGUUAAGGAUCCAGCGUUGCUGCGAGCUGUGCUGUAGGUUGCAGACAUGGCUUGGGUCUGGUGUGGCUGUGGUUGUGGCCAGCAGCCACAGCUCCUAUUCAACUCCUAGCCUGGGAACUUCCAUGUGCCACAG
RNAcentral lists this long non-coding RNA (2914 nucleotides) under Sus scrofa (pig). RNAcentral describes it as "lncRNA (ENSSSCG00015055241.1)". Lineage: Eukaryota; Metazoa; Chordata; Mammalia; Artiodactyla; Suidae. The record is from RNAcentral.